Long non-coding RNA from Bactrocera dorsalis (oriental fruit fly), 494 nucleotides. RefSeq lists it as uncharacterized. The record is from RefSeq and is a predicted model, not a curated record. NCBI's taxonomy places the organism in Eukaryota, Metazoa, Arthropoda, Insecta, Diptera, Tephritidae. The transcript is spliced from 2 exons.
GUCUAAAUGAAAUCUUAUGGGAACUUGAUGAAACCCGAUUCAAGAAGAUCACACGUAUCACUUGGAAAACUUUCGGUGCUAUUCUGGAUCUAAUAAAGGGAGACAAUCUUUUCAACAAAGUUCGGUCGGGCAAACAAUUUCCAAUUAAAACGCAACUGGCAAUUGAGUUGUAUCGCUUAGGUUCUAGCGGUGAAGGAGCUACUCUUUCGAAGAUUGCUACAUUUGGAAUCAGUGGUGGUAUCAUUCAGAAUUUAACUGAACGCAUAUUUAAUGCGCUGUUGAAAUAUAAAGACCAGUACUUAUUUUGGCCAAAUACGGAAGAAGCGCACUUUUCACGAAAACAUAUUUACUCCGUUAAGGCACAAGCCGUGUGCGAUCAUAGAUUACAAAUAGGGCACUUGAUGUUAGCCUUUCCAGGUAGCGUUCAUGACGCACGAGUUAACAAACUGUUGUUUAUGGCGAGUAAAAUAAAUUAUAUUUAUUUGGCCAGUGCA